Molecule: ribosomal RNA, 337 nt
Filed under: uncultured archaeon
Lineage: Archaea
Description: partial 16S ribosomal RNA
Rfam family: Archaeal small subunit ribosomal RNA
Source: RNAcentral
CGGGAAACUGGGGAUAAUACCCUAUAGACUAUGGAUGCUGGAAUGCUCUGUAGCCGAAAGGUCCGCCGCUGUAGGAGGGGUCGGCGGCCGAUUAGGUUGUUGUUGGGGUAACGGCCCAACAAGCCUGUAAUCGGUCCGGGUUGUGGGAGCAAGAGCCGGGAGAUGGAUUCUGAGACACGAAUCCAGGCCCUACGGGGCGCAGCAGGCGCGAAAACUUUACAAUGCGGGAAACCGUGAUAAGGGAACGCUGCGUGCCCGUAAAAUCGGGCUGUCCAUCAGUUUAAAUACCUGGUGAAGAAAGGGCCGGGCAAGACCGGUGCCAGCCGCCGCGGUAACA